ACACGAGAAAGGAGGUGGUCCACAAAUAAUGCAUUCUUUGAGGACUCGUGAGGUGGUUGCCGGUUAGGCAGCUUGCUGCCGGACAAUCUACGGCAGCCACCGCGGCCCGUGGGGGUCGAGCCCAGUCCAGCUCGACGACAUCAACCCCACGGGCCGUUUCUC
Molecule: small RNA, 162 nt
Filed under: Spelaeicoccus albus
Lineage: Bacteria; Bacillati; Actinomycetota; Actinomycetes; Micrococcales; Brevibacteriaceae
Description: Actinobacteria sRNA Ms_IGR-5
Rfam family: Actinobacteria sRNA Ms_IGR-5
Source: Rfam by way of RNAcentral